ACAAAAUGUGCGGGGAAGACAUAUGCCCAAAUGAAAGAACGGCACCAAACCAUAGCAAGAGACCCAAGCAAAAGAGAUAUAAUUAAUAUCCCUGAUAGAGAAUUUAAACUAAUGAUCAUAAAAACACUAACAGGACU
Callorhinus ursinus (northern fur seal) is the source of this 137-nucleotide non-coding RNA. NCBI's taxonomy places the organism in Eukaryota, Metazoa, Chordata, Mammalia, Carnivora, Otariidae. The record is from RefSeq and is a predicted model, not a curated record.